GACGAACGCUGGCGGCGUGCCUAAUACAUGCAAGUUGAGCGCUGAAGGUUGGUACUUGUACCAACUGGAUGAGCAGCGAACGGGUGAGUAACGCGUGGGUAAUCUGCCUUUGAGCGGGGGACAACAUUUGGAAACGAAUGCUAAUACCGCAUAAAAACUUUAAACACAAGUUUUAAGUUUGAAAGAUGCAAUUGCAUCACUCAAAGAUGAUCCCGCGUUGUAUUAGCUAGUUGGUGAGGUAAAGGCUCACCAAGGCGAUGAUACAUAGCCGACCUGAGAGGGUGAUCGGCCACAUUGGGAAUGAGACACGGCCCAAACUCCUACGGGAGGCAGCAGUAGGGAAUCUUCGGCAAUGGACGAAAGUCUGACCGAGCAACGCCGCGUGAGUGAAGAAGGUUUUCGGAUCGUAAAACUCUGUUGGUAGAGAAGAACGUUGGUGAGAGUGGAAAGCUCAUCAAGUGACGGUAACUACCCAGAAAGGGACGGCUAACUACGUG
Molecule: ribosomal RNA, 497 nt
Filed under: uncultured bacterium
Lineage: Bacteria
Description: partial 16S ribosomal RNA
Rfam family: Bacterial small subunit ribosomal RNA
Source: RNAcentral